RNAcentral lists this ribosomal RNA (466 nucleotides) under uncultured Pseudomonas sp. Its description in RNAcentral is "bacterial SSU rRNA". It matches the Rfam family "Bacterial small subunit ribosomal RNA", at positions 920 to 1382 of the family's 1533-position model. Lineage: Bacteria; Pseudomonadati; Pseudomonadota; Gammaproteobacteria; Pseudomonadales; Pseudomonadaceae. The record is from RNAcentral.
CCCGGCACAAGCGGAGGAGCAUGUGGUUUUAAUUCGUAUGAUACGCGGAGAACCGUUACCUGGGCGUCGAACGUAAGAUGACUGUAGUGAAAGCUUACAUCUCUUCGGAGCAUUUUACGAGGUGCUGCAUGGUUGUCGUCAGCUCGUGCCGUGAGGUGUCGGGUUAAGUCCCAUAACGAGCGCAACCCUUGUCCUUAGUUACCAGCACGUUAUGGUGGGCACUCUAAGGAGACUGCCGGUGACAAACCGGAGGAAGGUGGGGAUGACGUCAAGUCAUCAUGGCCCUUACGGCCUGGGCUACACACGUGCUACAAUGGUCGGUACAAAGGGUUGCCAAGCCGCGAGGUGGAGCUAAUCCCAUAAAACCGAUCGUAGUCCGGAUCGCAGUCUGCAACUCGACUGCGUGAAGUCGGAAUCGCUAGUAAUCGUGAAUCAGAAUGUCACGGUGAAUACGUUCCCGGGCCUU